RNAcentral lists this ribosomal RNA (253 nucleotides) under uncultured bacterium. RNAcentral describes it as "partial 16S ribosomal RNA". It matches the Rfam family "Bacterial small subunit ribosomal RNA", at positions 524 to 776 of the family's 1533-position model. The record is from RNAcentral.
UACAGAGGUCUCAAGCGUUGUUCGGAUUCAUUGGGCGUAAAGGGUGCGUAGGUGGCGCUGUAAGUCGGGUGUGAAAUUUCGGAGCUUAACUCCGAACUGCAUUCGAUACUGCGGUGCUUGAGGACUGGAGAGGAGACUGGAAUUCGAUGGUGUAGCAGUGAAAUGCGUAGAGAUCAUGAGGAAGACCAGUGGCGAAGGCGGGUCUCUGGACAGUUCCUGACACUGAGGCACGAAGGCCAGGGGAGCAAACGGG